RNAcentral lists this transfer RNA (71 nucleotides) under Acinetobacter phage Ac42. It matches the Rfam family "tRNA". Rfam says of the family: Transfer RNA (tRNA) molecules are approximately 80 nucleotides in length. Their secondary structure includes four short double-helical elements and three loops (D, anti-codon, and T loops). Further hydrogen bonds mediate the characteristic L-shaped molecular structure. tRNAs have two regions of fundamental functional importance: the anti-codon, which is responsible for specific mRNA codon recognition, and the 3' end, to which the tRNAs corresponding amino acid is attached (by aminoacyl-tRNA synthetases). tRNAs cope with the degeneracy of the genetic code in two manners: having more than one tRNA (with a specific anti-codon) for a particular amino acid; and 'wobble' base-pairing, i.e. permitting non-standard base-pairing at the 3rd anti-codon position. The record is from Rfam by way of RNAcentral. Lineage: Duplodnaviria; Heunggongvirae; Uroviricota; Caudoviricetes; Pantevenvirales; Straboviridae.
AGGUCAUUGGUGUAAUGGCAGCACAGCGGGCUCCAACCCCGUUAGUCAGAGUUCAAAUCUUUGGUGGCCUG